RNAcentral lists this long non-coding RNA (143 nucleotides) under Anser brachyrhynchus (Pink-footed goose). Its description in RNAcentral is "lncRNA (ENSABRG00000021768.1)". The record is from RNAcentral. Lineage: Eukaryota; Metazoa; Chordata; Aves; Anseriformes; Anatidae.
UUAUGCUGAAAUCCCUCUGCCAUGCUUUUGGUGUAUGCUGGAGUACCCGGUAUCAGAAUAGGAUAAAAUUCCCCAAAAUAUAUUGUCCAUUAAAAACUGGAACAGAUCACAUAUUUGGUCACAAGUGCCUAAGCUGUGGGUGA